This 74-nucleotide transfer RNA is filed under the name Dipodomys ordii (Ord's kangaroo rat). It matches the Rfam family "tRNA". From Rfam's summary of the family: Transfer RNA (tRNA) molecules are approximately 80 nucleotides in length. Their secondary structure includes four short double-helical elements and three loops (D, anti-codon, and T loops). Lineage: Eukaryota; Metazoa; Chordata; Mammalia; Rodentia; Heteromyidae. The record is from Rfam by way of RNAcentral.
GGAUAUGAAGCUCAGUGGUGUAGAGUGUUUGUCUAGUAUGAAUGAGAUUCUGGGUUAAAUCCCCAGCAUGCCUC